GAGUCGCUAAAAGCCAAGGCUGAGACUCCCUCCCCCUCCCAUCCCCCUCUCUCGGAGAGCCUCAGGCAGCCUCGAGAGUCCGAGAUCUCGCAGAUCUCGCAGCCGAGGUUCGCAAACUUUUUAUGGACGGGUUUCGACAAGGCGCGAGCGAGGCAGUUCCGAAGACAGUCACGCGAGGACGCUAAGAUUUCUAGGGAGGAAAAAUCUCGAGAUUUCUCUCUUUUUCUCUCUCUCUCUCUCUCUCUCGAGAAGAAGAAGAAGAAGAAGAAAUUAAAGAUCAGAGCGAGUGACAGACAAAUUAUUGAAAGUAGCACGUAUUUUCUAACAUAUGUAUCAUCGAAACGACUCCGGAUUACUUUGUACGAUCUUGACUGACGUAGAUCCUUGGCGCGAGACUUGGUGACACUAUGCAACGAAAGGGACAAUUCAUUUAAAGGACUACUAAUAUAUUAUCCCGGUGAACAAAACGUUAGAGAAAUGACGAAAAAGAUUAUAUCGCGGAAUAAUGACCGUGAUAUUUUAAUAAAUGAGAGUAUUCGGUUAAUUUAUUUCGCAUAAAAUAUACAAGAGACGUCGAGAAAGUUUCGAGACUGAAUGGAUUAUCAUAAAAUAAAGUUUGGAAGAAAUUUGUAGCUUGCCACUUUCAAAGCUUUUCAAAUGUAGUUUUUUGACUAAUGGAUACUUGUAUUGAUACGAUUAUAUCCGUUAUUUAAAAUGUUUCAAAUUCUUGUUUUUGAAAAAGAAAUUUAAUCGAAUUUUGAAGGAUGACGAGGAUGAAAGGAUUGACUGAAUUAAACAACUUAUUGUUUUUGCCCAAAGCAAGUAGUUUUAACAAAUGUAUUGAACGCAACUCUACAAAACAACGUUCUGGAUUAUUGGACUAGAUGUCUUAUCAUAACAUUGAGCUCAAUAGGAAUCACUUCGAGGGAGACAAGCCAGACACACAUCUUUUUCGAUAUUUCUUUAUAAUUCUUCUUUAUUUUGUUUAUAAUUCACUCAGCUCUCUGCAACGUUUUGGACACAUCUUGUAUAUUAUCAAACUUGAAUUCUUUUGUCCGAUAUUGCACUUACGAAAAAAAUUACAUAUCGCGUUGUAAUCGCCACGCGAUUGUUUCGCCUCUAUAAUGUUAUUUUCAACACAUCUGUUGUUGUAAAUUAUGCACAAAAUGAACAGAAGAAAUUUUGAGUAGAAAAUCUCUAUGACACGGUUAGACAAAUAUAUCAUCUUUCUUUUUUGCUCAAUUAAGGCACCGGUGUACCUAACUUAGCUCGAAGAAAUCGAGUUGCCCUCUACAUUCGCGCGACAGAGUCCGUGUGCACAGUCUUGUAAAAUAUCUCAAAAAUAAUUUAAAACCGACAGUAAUCUCGCUAGAAUCUGAUUUAUGCAUUUCUGUGUUGUAUGUGUUACUUGCAUAUCUUCCUAGUUCUCAAGAGUAUAAUGCUUGCAUUCAUUUUUUUA
This is a long non-coding RNA of Formica exsecta, 1459 nucleotides long. RefSeq lists it as uncharacterized. Lineage: Eukaryota; Metazoa; Arthropoda; Insecta; Hymenoptera; Formicidae. The record is from RefSeq and is a predicted model, not a curated record. The transcript has 3 exons.